This 253-nucleotide ribosomal RNA is filed under the name uncultured bacterium. RNAcentral's name for it is "partial 16S ribosomal RNA". It matches the Rfam family "Bacterial small subunit ribosomal RNA", at positions 524 to 776 of the family's 1533-position model. The record is from RNAcentral.
UACGUAGGGUGCAAGCGUUGCCCGGAUUUAUUGGGCGUAAAGGGCGCGUAGGCGGCUACGCACGUCCGUUGUGAAAUCGCCCGGCUCAACUGGGCGGGGUCGGCGGAUACGGCGUAGCUUGAGCAAGCUAGGGGGCAAUGGAAUUCCCGGUGUAGUGGUGGAAUGCGUAGAUAUGCGGAGGAACACCGAUGGCGAAGGCAAUCCCCUGGGCCUGCACUGACGCUCAUGCACGAAAGCGUGGGGAGCAAACAGG